Pseudonaja textilis is the source of this 548-nucleotide non-coding RNA. The record is from RefSeq and is a predicted model, not a curated record. NCBI's taxonomy places the organism in Eukaryota, Metazoa, Chordata, Lepidosauria, Squamata, Elapidae.
AACCUCUUUGUUGCUCUUCUCUCCACUCUUUCCAGAGUCUCAACAUCUCUUUUACAUCAUGGCAAUCAAAACUGGAUGCCGUAUUCCAAGUGUGGCCUUGCCAAGGCACUAUACCACUUUAACACUUCACGUGACUUGAUCUAUCCCUCUGUUUAUGCAGCCUAGAACUGCAUUGGCUUUUUGGGCAGCUGCUGCACACGGCUGGCUCCUAUUCAAGUGAUUGUCCACUUGGACUCCGAGAUCCCUCUCACAGUUACCACUAUUGAGCAAGGGAGGCUUACCAUGGAGAGGGGAACCAGACGGACUGCUGGAAAGGCCCGGCACGGGACUGCAGCGCCCUCCUUGUUUGGUGGUCAGCUCUUGCUCGAUCUCCUCCAGUCCUGCGCUCUUCUGGAAGCGGCUCAUGCGGUUCACGACCCGGGGCGACAGAUGGAUGGAUGGACGGAUGGACAGAUAUUACAAAUAACUAAAGGUGGAGAACAAUAUGUGGCCCCUAUUCAUUUCACAGAAUAGCCCAACGAGUUGAAUCAGUAUCAAUAAAACAGCUC